This 1435-nucleotide ribosomal RNA is filed under the name metagenome. Its description in RNAcentral is "bacterial LSU rRNA". It matches the Rfam family "Bacterial large subunit ribosomal RNA", at positions 1070 to 2488 of the family's 2925-position model. The record is from RNAcentral.
UUGAAGUGGAAGUGCGAAGACAGCUAGGAUGUUGGCUUAGAAGCAGCCAUCAUUUAAAAAGUGCGUAACAGCUUACUAGUCGAGCCCUUCCGCGCCGAAAAUUGGCGGGACUCAAGUCCGCUACCGAAGCCGCGGGUUUGGAGAGACUGCGGUCUCUCCAAGCGGUAGGGGAGCGUUCCACCCUAGGAUGAAGGCGUACCGUAAGGAGCGCUGGACGAAGUGGAAGCGAUGAUGCUGGAAUAAGUAGCGAUAAGAUGAGUGAGAAUCUCAUCCGCCGAAAACCUAAGGUUUCCUGGGGAAGGCAAUUCCGCCCAGGGUUAGUCGGCCCCUAAGGCGAGGCCGAAAGGCGUAGUCGAUGGACAGCAGGUUAAUAUUCCUGCACCGCUCAUGAUGGGUUGAUGAUGGGGUGACGGAGGCUCGAUUGCCUACGGGCGACUGAUUGUGCCCGGUGGCUGGGGGAGGACCGCCGCAGGUAAAUCCGCGGCAUACGGUUCGAACUCGGCGACGAAUUCCUUUUUGAGAAGAAGUGGCUUGAAGGCUUCCCAAGAAAAACCUCGGUUCGUACUUUCAUGAGCGACCGUACUAAAACUGACACAGGUAGGUGGGGUGAGUAUCCUAAGGCGCUCGGGGGAACUGUGGUAAAGGAACUCGGCAAAAUGGCCCCGUAACUUCGGGAUAAGGGGCGCCCCUUGGAGAAGGCUUCGUAAGAAGAACCGGGGGGCUGCAGGAAUCGGUUGUUACGACUGUUUACUAAAAACACAGGUCUCUGCCAAGUCCACAAAGACGACGUAUAGAGACUGACGCUUGCUCGGUGCCGGAAGGUCAAGGUGAGGGGUCAGCCCGCAAGGGCGAAGCUCCGAGCCGAAGCCCCGGUUAACGGCGGCCGUAACUAUGACGGUCCUAAGGUAGCGAAGUUCCUUGUCGGGUAAGUUCCGACGCGCAAGAGCGUAACGUAGCAACGCUGUCUCUACCGCAGACCCGGCGAAAUUGUAGUAGCGGUGAAGAUGCCGCUUACCCGCAGUUAGACGGAAAGACCCCGUGAACCUUCACUGUAGCCUAUUAUUGAGUUUGGGUGUGGCAUGUGUAGGAUAGGUGGGAGGCAUUGAAGCUGGGACGCCAGUCUCAGCAGAGCCGCCGGUGAAAUACCACCCUUGUUGCAUCUAAAUUCUAACUCGAUUCCUUGAACCAGGGUCCAGGACAGUGAUAGGUGGGCAGUUUGGCUGGGGCGGCUUCCUCCUAAAGAGUAACGGAGGAGCCCAAAGGCACCUUCAGCGCGGUUGGCAAUCGCGCGGAGAGCGUAAGGGUAUAAGGGUGCCUGACUGUGAGACCAAUAAGUCGAGCAGAGGUGAAAGCCGGGCCUAAUGAUCCGGCGUUACCGGGUGGAAGGGACGUCGCUCAUCAGAUAAAAGGUACUCCGGGGAUAACAGGCUGAUCU